This 682-nucleotide ribosomal RNA is filed under the name uncultured soil bacterium. RNAcentral describes it as "bacterial SSU rRNA". It matches the Rfam family "Bacterial small subunit ribosomal RNA", at positions 35 to 761 of the family's 1533-position model. The record is from RNAcentral.
GCUGGCGGCAGGCCUAACACAUGCAAGUCGAACGCUCGUAGCAAUACGAGAGUGGCAGACGGGUGAGUAACGCGUGGGAACCUUCCCAGUGGUACGGAAUAGCUCAGGGAAACUUGAGGUAAUACCGUAUACGCCCUUCGGGGGAAAGAUUUAUCGCCAUUGGAUGGGCCCGCGUAGGAUUAGCUAGUUGGUGAGGUAACGGCUCACCAGGGCGACGAUCCUUAGCUGGUCUGAGAGGAUGAUCAGCCACACUGGGACUGAGACACGGCCCAGACUCCUACGGGAGGCAGCAGUGGGGAAUAUUGGACAAUGGGCGCAAGCCUGAUCCAGCCAUGCCGCGUGAGUGUCGAAGGCCUUAGGGUUGUAAAGCUCUUUUGGCGGGGAAGAUAAUGACGGUACCCGCAGAAUAAGCUCCGGCUAACUUCGUGCCAGCAGCCGCGGUAAUACGAAGGGAGCUAGCGUUGUUCGGAAUCACUGGGCGUAAAGCGCACGUAGGCGGAUGUGUCAGUCAGGGGUGAAAUCCCGGAGCUCAACUUCGGAACUGCCCUUGAUACAGCACGUCUUGAGUCCGAUAGAGGUGGGUGGAAUUCCUAGUGUAGAGGUGAAAUUCGUAGAUAUUAGGAAGAACACCGGUGGCGAAGGCGGCCCACUGGAUCGGUACUGACGCUGAGGUGCGAAAGCG